GAAAGGUGUAUGGACUCGUUUUGUAUGAUUCCAUCUCUCAACUUUUGGAUAUGAGUUAUCUUUUUCUCUUUCUAUUUUUUUCUUUUUUUCUUCUUUUUUUGAUCAUGCUUUGAGAAUGGCUUUAUUUCUUUUUGCAUAGCCCAUGUCUCUUUAGAAAGGAUACAUUUGGAGAGAGAGGUCACACCACAUGUGGAGCUUUAUUUGGUGGAUGGAUGGGAUGUUACUAGCUUCCAGUGUAGAAGUCUAGUAUGUGGAAGUGGGGUGUACGUGAUCUUGAUCAUGAAAGUAUGAAGAAUAUUCCACAAGGGUCACAACAAUUAGGCAAAGCUCAACAUAAUAGCAAGUGUUGGUAUAUUUAACGAUCACGAAUAAAUCCGUAAGCGCACGGAUAUACCGUUGUAGAAUUUCACCCAAGAGUAUUCCCAAGGGUAUUAUAUUUCCCAAAGGAAGGUGGGUAGGUCAAAAGAGUUUACUAUGCAUAUGAGUAUACCAUAGAUGGAUAGAGAUAACACUCAAGGCAAGGGUAAGAUAAUGGUAGCGGAGUAGUGUGACACACACAGGAAUCAUCUCAAGAUAACUAAGCUAGGGAGAAGGACUAAGAGUUCAUAUGUACUUCCUAUAUACUGCAUAGAUCAUACAAGCAUAACAUAUAUACA
This 656-nucleotide long non-coding RNA is filed under the name Setaria viridis. RNAcentral describes it as "long non-coding RNA (SVIR_LNC003141)". The record is from RNAcentral. Lineage: Eukaryota; Viridiplantae; Streptophyta; Magnoliopsida; Poales; Poaceae.